RNAcentral lists this ribosomal RNA (253 nucleotides) under uncultured bacterium. Its description in RNAcentral is "partial 16S ribosomal RNA". It matches the Rfam family "Bacterial small subunit ribosomal RNA", at positions 524 to 776 of the family's 1533-position model. The record is from RNAcentral.
UACGAAGGGGGCUAGCGUUGCUCGGAUUGACUGGGCGUAAAGGGCGCGUAGGCGGUUCGUACAGUCAGACGUGAAAUUCCUGGGCUCAACCUGGGGGCUGCGUUUGAUACGUGCGGACUUGAGUGCGGAAGAGGGUCGUGGAAUUCCCAGUGUAGAGGUGAAAUUCGUAGAUAUUGGGAAGAACACCGGUGGCGAAGGCGGCGACCUGGUCCGAUACUGACGCUGAGGCGCGAAAGCGUGUGGAGCAAACAGG